This 518-nucleotide ribosomal RNA is filed under the name uncultured bacterium. Its description in RNAcentral is "bacterial SSU rRNA". It matches the Rfam family "Bacterial small subunit ribosomal RNA", at positions 8 to 518 of the family's 1533-position model. The record is from RNAcentral.
AGAGUUGAUCCUGGCUCAGAACGAACGCUGGCGGCGCGUUUAAGCAUGCAAGUCGAGCGGCAAGGGCCUUCGGGCCCCUAGAGCGGCGGACGGGUGAGUAACACGUGGACAAUCUGCCCCCCGGCCCGGGAUAGCCCAGGGAAACCUGGAUUAAUACCGGAUGAGACGGGACCCGCGAUGGCGGGACCCGGGAAAGGCGCUGCGGCGCCGCCGGGGGAUGAGUCUGCGUCCCAUUAGCUAGACGGCGGGGUAACGGCCCACCGUGGCGACGAUGGGUAGCCGGCCUGAGAGGGUGGACGGCCACAUUGGAACUGAGACACGGUCCAGACUCCUACGGGAGGCAGCAGCUAAGAAUCUUCCGCAAUGGGCGAAAGCCUGACGGAGCGACGCCGCGUGAACGAAGAAGGCCGUGAGGUUGUAAAGUUCUUUUCGGGAGGGGGAACAACCGUGGCAGGGAAUGGCCGCGGGAUGACGUGAAUCCCGGAAUAAGCCCCGGCUAACUACGUGCCAGCAGCUGC